AACGAACGCUGGCGGCAUGCCUAACACAUGCAAGUCGAACGAAGCCUUCGGGCUUAGUGGCGCACGGGUGCGUAACGCGUGGGAAUCUGCCCUUUGGUUCGGAAUAACAGUUGGAAACGACUGCUAAUACCGGAUGAUGACGAAAGUCCAAAGAUUUAUCGCCAGAGGAUGAGCCCGCGUAGGAUUAGCUAGUUGGGGUGGUAAAGGCGCACCAAGGCGACGAUCCUUAGCUGGUCUGAGAGGAUGAUCAGCCACACUGGGACUGAGACACGGCCCAGACUCCUACGGGAGGCAGCAGUGGGAAAUAUUGGACAAUGGGCGAAAGCCUGAUCCAGCAAUGCCGCGUGAGUGAUGAAGGCCCUAGGGUUGUAAAGCUCUUUUACCCGGGAUGAUAAUGACAGUACCGGGAGAAUAAGCCCCGGCUAACUCCGUGCCAGCCGCCGCCGUAA
This 449-nucleotide ribosomal RNA is filed under the name uncultured bacterium. RNAcentral describes it as "partial 16S ribosomal RNA". It matches the Rfam family "Bacterial small subunit ribosomal RNA", at positions 29 to 523 of the family's 1533-position model. The record is from RNAcentral.